GUGCUCGCUUCGGCAGUACAUAUACUAAAACUGAAACAAUACAGAGAAGAUUAGCAUGGUCCCUGUGCAAAGAUGACAUGCAAAUUCAUGAAGCAUUUCAUAUUAAA
This is a small nuclear RNA of Phacochoerus africanus (Common warthog), 107 nucleotides long. NCBI's taxonomy places the organism in Eukaryota, Metazoa, Chordata, Mammalia, Artiodactyla, Suidae. The record is from RefSeq and is a predicted model, not a curated record.